RNAcentral lists this ribosomal RNA (253 nucleotides) under uncultured bacterium. RNAcentral's name for it is "partial 16S ribosomal RNA". It matches the Rfam family "Bacterial small subunit ribosomal RNA", at positions 524 to 776 of the family's 1533-position model. The record is from RNAcentral.
UACGUAGGGGGCAAGCGUUAUCCGGAAUUACUGGGUGUAAAGGGCGCGUAGGCGGUUAUUUAAGUUAGAUGUGAAAUCCCAAGGCUCAACUUUGGAACUGCCUCUAAAACUGGGUAACUAGAGUGUGGGAGAGGAAAGCGGAAUUCUCAGUGUAGCGGUGAAAUGCGUAGAUAUUGAGAGGAACACCGGUGGCGAAGGCGGCUUUCUGGACCAUAACUGACGCUGAGGCGCGAAAGCGUGGGGAGCAAACAGG